CUCUCUUUCCUUGUGCCCUGAGCGCCCCUCCGAGUGCCAUCCUCAGGCUUUCCUGAUGGCUGUGCGCCUUGGCCUCAGAUGGCCGCCCCCCAAGAGGGCCAACAAGGUUGGGACCCUUUGGGCUGUUACGGUGUUGUCACCUCAGGAGUGUGGGUGUGUUGGCGUUAAGGUGGCCGUCUGGCCUGAGUGGGCCGUGGUGGUUUUUCCUAUGACCCCGAUUCUGUUCCCUUAGCUUGCUAGUGUUGGGAGGGUCACAGGGAGAUUUUCUCCCGUGUUGUUGCCAGGUUGGUUAUGGCUGGGCAGGUGGCCCUCAAAGGAG
Pelobates cultripes (western spadefoot toad) is the source of this 319-nucleotide non-coding RNA. NCBI's taxonomy places the organism in Eukaryota, Metazoa, Chordata, Amphibia, Anura, Pelobatidae. The record is from the annotation of a GenBank genome assembly.